This 441-nucleotide ribosomal RNA is filed under the name uncultured bacterium. RNAcentral describes it as "partial 16S ribosomal RNA". It matches the Rfam family "Bacterial small subunit ribosomal RNA", at positions 339 to 795 of the family's 1533-position model. The record is from RNAcentral.
CUACGGGGCGCUCCAGUGGGGAAUUUUGCGCAAUGGGCGAAAGCCUGACGCAGCAACGCCGUGUGAGUGAUGAAGGCCUUCGGGUUGUAAAGCUCUGUCAAGUGGGAAGGAGCUCUGACGGUACCACUGAAGGAAGCCCCGGCUAACUCCGUGCCAGCAGCCGCGGUAAUACGGAGGGGGCAAGCGUUGUUCGGAAUCAUUGGGCGUAAAGCGUAUGUAGGCGGCCAGAUAAGUCAGGCGUGUAAGCCCACGGCUCAACCGUGGAAUUGCGCUUGAAACUGUCUGACUUGAGUACAGGAGAGGAAAGCGGAAUUCCCAGUGUAGCGGUGAAAUGCGUUGAUAUUGGGAAGAACACCGGUGGCGAAGGCGGCUUUCUGGUCUGUUACUGACGCUGAGAUACGAAAGCCAGGGGAGCGAACGGGAUUAGAUACCCGAGUAGUC